Pangasianodon gigas (Mekong giant catfish) is the source of this 88-nucleotide non-coding RNA. Lineage: Eukaryota; Metazoa; Chordata; Actinopteri; Siluriformes; Pangasiidae. The record is from the annotation of a GenBank genome assembly.
GUUUGUCAUAACCCUUGAGAAAUAGAAGCUGAGCUCUGUGAGAGGGAAGUGAUAAACUCCUGUGAGGGUAUUUAAGCUGUACUUCUAC